GGGGCCAUCGUCCAGCGGCUAGGACACCACCCUUUCAAGGUGGAGACCGGAGUUCGAUCCUCCGUGGCCCUACCA
This 75-nucleotide transfer RNA is filed under the name Chloroflexota bacterium. RNAcentral's name for it is "tRNA-Glu". It matches the Rfam family "tRNA". Rfam says of the family: Transfer RNA (tRNA) molecules are approximately 80 nucleotides in length. Their secondary structure includes four short double-helical elements and three loops (D, anti-codon, and T loops). Lineage: Bacteria; Bacillati; Chloroflexota. RNAcentral also lists the same sequence under 1 other name. The record is from RNAcentral.